RNAcentral lists this long non-coding RNA (643 nucleotides) under Dromaius novaehollandiae (emu). RNAcentral describes it as "lncRNA (ENSDNVG00000017163.1)". The record is from RNAcentral. Lineage: Eukaryota; Metazoa; Chordata; Aves; Casuariiformes; Dromaiidae.
AAUAAUUUCUUUCAUUUUUCUCUCUUUUGAAAUAGGUGUAGGUACUGUAUUUAUGCUGAACAGUGGCAAACUGUCUCAUGGCAUUGUGAUGAGGACAAAUACUUUGAGGAGAGAAGAAAUCUGAAAUUUUCAUUUGUGUACUGAAUUCCAAAGAGACAAAAGGUGGGCUGUGCCGGUGGUGUUGAUGUCCUCAGCCUGUGGUGCCGGGGUCRGACCGUAGCCAGUGCUCCCGGCAGCGCCUGCGCCGUCUGUGCGAAGGACGGCUCGAUCCCCCUGCUCGCCUCCCGCAGGCGGGAUGAAGAGGGCAAUCGGCUGGUAAGAGUCGAUGGGAUCUGCGUGGACGUGACUUUGUUGCUCCUGAUAACGCUACGUAAAAGCGAAGAAGAGCUGCUGCCAGAGUUUCAUUUCCCCUCCGCUUCUCACUACUGCCGCUGAAUGCAAGCCAGAUUUCCAAGGAGAAGAACAGUGAUGGACUGAGUAUUUCCAAGAACUGUGCACAGAAAUACAGCAGAGGAAGGCAGCAAUACGUCACCUGAUAAGGAGCUCUUCUUCCAGCAAAGCUCCAGCAGUGAAAGUAGACUAAAUGUAAGUAAUACAACCUACGCUUUUUGCCUCGUCUGUGUGUGUGGAAGAAAGGGCCCAA